Molecule: ribosomal RNA, 253 nt
Filed under: uncultured bacterium
Lineage: Bacteria
Description: partial 16S ribosomal RNA
Rfam family: Bacterial small subunit ribosomal RNA
Source: RNAcentral
UACGGAGGGGGCAAGCGUUGCUCGGAAUCACUGGGCGUAAAGCGCACGUAGGCGGAUUGUUAAGUCAGGGGUGAAAUCCUGGAGCUCAACUCCAGAACUGCCUUUGAUACUGGCGAUCUCGAGUCCGGGAGAGGUGAGUGGAACUGCGAGUGUAGAGGUGAAAUUCGUAGAUAUUCGGAAGAACACCAGUGGCGAAGGCGGCUCACUGGCCCGGUACUGACGCUGAGGUGCGAAAGCGUGGGGAGCAAACAGG